RNAcentral lists this ribosomal RNA (739 nucleotides) under Pseudoalteromonas sp. UST050418-822. Its description in RNAcentral is "bacterial SSU rRNA". It matches the Rfam family "Bacterial small subunit ribosomal RNA", at positions 31 to 774 of the family's 1533-position model. Lineage: Bacteria; Pseudomonadati; Pseudomonadota; Gammaproteobacteria; Alteromonadales; Pseudoalteromonadaceae. The record is from RNAcentral.
UGACGCGGCGGCGGCUACACAUGCAGUCGUAGCGGUACAGAGAGUAGCUUGCUACUUUGCUGACGAGCGGCGGACGGGUGAGUAAUGCUUGGGAACAUGCCUUGAGGUGGGGGACAACAGUUGGAAACGACUGCUAAUACCGCAUAAUGUCUACGGACCAAAGGGGGCUUCGGCUCUCNCCUUUUAAAUUGGCCCAAGUGGGAUUAGCUAGUUGGUGAGGUAAUGGCUCACCAAGGCGACGAUCCCUAGCUGGUUUGAGAGGAUGAUCAGCCACACUGGGACUGAGACACGGCCCAGACUCCUACGGGAGGCAGCAGUGGGGAAUAUUGCACAAUGGGCGCAAGCCUGAUGCAGCCAUGCCGCGUGUGUGAAGAAGGCCUUCGGGUUGUAAAGCACUUUCAGUCAGGAGGAAAGGUUAGUAGUUAAUACCUGCUAGCUGUGACGUUACUGACAGAAGAAGCACCGGCUAACUCCGUGCCAGCAGCCGCGGUAAUACGGAGGGUGCGAGCGUUAAUCGGAAUUACUGGGCGUAAAGCGUACGCAGGCGGUUUGUUAAGCGAGAUGUGAAAGCCCUGGGCUCAACCUGGGAACUGCAUUUCGAACUGGCAAACUAGAGUUGUGAUCAGAGGGGUGGGUAGAAUUUCAGGUGUNAGCGGUGAAAUGCGUUGAGAUCUGAAGGAUCCGAUGGCCGAAGCCGCCCUUGGUCACCUGGCCUCCUUUUCAAACGUUGGGGGCCACG